RNAcentral lists this ribosomal RNA (439 nucleotides) under uncultured Streptococcus sp. Its description in RNAcentral is "bacterial SSU rRNA". It matches the Rfam family "Bacterial small subunit ribosomal RNA", at positions 941 to 1382 of the family's 1533-position model. Lineage: Bacteria; Bacillati; Bacillota; Bacilli; Lactobacillales; Streptococcaceae. The record is from RNAcentral.
GUGGUUUAAUUCGAAGCAACGCGAAGAACCUUACCAGGUCUUGACAUCCCGAUGCUUAUUUCUAGAGAUAGAAAGUUACUUCGGUACAUCGGUGACAGGUGGUGCAUGGUUGUCGUCAGCUCGUGUCGUGAGAUGUUGGGUUAAGUCCCGCAACGAGCGCAACCCCUAUUGUUAGUUGCCAUCAUUCAGUUGGGCACUCUAGCGAGACUGCCGGUAAUAACCGGAGGAAGGUGGGAUGACGUCAAAUCAUCAUGCCCCUUAUGACCUGGGCUACACACGUGCUACAAUGGUUGGUACAACGAGUUGCGAGUCGGUGACGGCGAGCUAAUCUCUUAAAGCCAAUCUCAGUUCGGAUUGUAGGCUGCAACUCGCCUACAUGAAGUCGGAAUCGCUAGUAAUCGCGGAUCAGCACGCCGCGGUGAAUACGUUCCCGGGCCUU